AUGCUCCGCCUCCGGAGCUGCGGCGUCGCGCACCUGCUCUCCUCUCCCAUCACCUCUCACGGCUACGCUCUCCCCCGACUCCUCUCCGCCACCACCGCCGUUUCCCCACCCACCGGAUUCGCCGUCGAGGAGUAUCUGGUCGACACCUGCGGCCUCACCCGAGCACAAGCGCUCAAGGCCUCCGCAAAGCUUUCCCACCUCAAAUCCCCCGCCAAUGCCGACGCCGUCCUCGCCUUCCUCGCCGGCCUCGGCCUCUCUAGCGCCGACGUCGCCGCCCUCGUCGCGCGGGAUCCCAAGUUCCUCUGCGCCGGCGUGGAGGCGACCCUGUCCCCCAUCGUCGUCGAGCUCACGGGCCUCGGGCUGUCGCGCUCCGAGAUCGCGCGACUCGUCCCGCUCGCUGCCGAGCACUUCCGCUGCAAGUCCGUCGUAUCCAAGGUGCACUACUACCUGCACCUCUUGGGCCCCUCCGAGAAAUUCCUCCGAGUAUUCAAGGGUAACCACCAUCUCCUCUCGCACAGCCUCGAGAAGGUGGUCAAGCGGAACGUGCGGCUGCUGCGGGAGUGCACGCUAGGUGCUUGCGACAUUGGCAAGCUGGCCAUCUCUUUGCCAAGGAUGCUCACCGCCAACGUGGAACAAAUCCGGGCCAUGGUUGCCUCUGCUGAGGCUUUAGGCGUGCCUCCUGGCUGUGCGAUGUUCAGGCAGGCUCUGCGGUCUGUUGCGUUAGUUAGUGAGGAGAAGAUCGCCACUAAAUUGGAUCACUUGAAGAAGGCAACAAGGUGGUCAGAUACCGAUGCCGGCAUUGCUGUGUCCAGGUGGCUGAGUGUGCUGAGUUUGUCCAAGGAAACGCUGCAGCGCAAGUCCGACUUCUUCAUCGCGGAGGUGGGAUUGGAACCGGCGUACAUUGCUCGUCGGCCAGCGAUGCUUAGUUUUAGCCUGGAGGGCCGGCUCAGGCCCCGGUACUAUGUUAUGAGGUUUCUCAAGGAAAAUGGAUUGCUAGAUCAUGACAGAGACUACUACGGUAUGGUCUUGUGCAGCGAGAAGGUGUUUGCGGAGAAAUUCAUAUGCCCUCACAAGGAAGCUGCGCCGCACCUCCCUGAAGACUAUGCUGCUGCUCGCAGAGGGGAAAUGCCGACUAAUUUCAGAUUUAUAUGA
RNAcentral lists this ribosomal RNA (1152 nucleotides) under Triticum aestivum (bread wheat). Its description in RNAcentral is "partial small subunit ribosomal RNA". The record is from RNAcentral. Lineage: Eukaryota; Viridiplantae; Streptophyta; Magnoliopsida; Poales; Poaceae.